GACAGAGGCCUCGAGCGUUAGGCGGAAUCACUGGGCUUAAAGCGUGUGUAGGCGGGUCCGUAAGUGUCUUGUGAAAUCCCACGGCUCAACCGUGGAACUGCUGGGCAUACUGCGGGUCUUGGGCCAACUAGGGGCAGCCGGAACAAGCGGUGGAGCGGUGAAAUGCGUAGAUAUCGCUUGGAACGCCGAAGGUGAAAACAGGCUGCUGGGGUUGCGCCGACGCUGAGACACGAAAGCCAGGGGAGCGAACGGG
RNAcentral lists this ribosomal RNA (253 nucleotides) under uncultured bacterium. RNAcentral's name for it is "partial 16S ribosomal RNA". It matches the Rfam family "Bacterial small subunit ribosomal RNA", at positions 524 to 776 of the family's 1533-position model. The record is from RNAcentral.